AAGGUCUUAGCUUAAUUUAAAGUAUCUGGGUUGCAUUCAGAAGAUGUAGUUAGAGUUCUACAGAUUUUA
RNAcentral lists this transfer RNA (69 nucleotides) under Uromastyx ornata. Its description in RNAcentral is "tRNA-Ala". It matches the Rfam family "tRNA". Rfam says of the family: Transfer RNA (tRNA) molecules are approximately 80 nucleotides in length. Their secondary structure includes four short double-helical elements and three loops (D, anti-codon, and T loops). Lineage: Eukaryota; Metazoa; Chordata; Lepidosauria; Squamata; Agamidae. The record is from RNAcentral.